RNAcentral lists this ribosomal RNA (2907 nucleotides) under Escherichia coli O104:H4 str. 2011C-3493. RNAcentral describes it as "bacterial LSU rRNA". It matches the Rfam family "Bacterial large subunit ribosomal RNA". The record is from RNAcentral. Lineage: Bacteria; Pseudomonadati; Pseudomonadota; Gammaproteobacteria; Enterobacterales; Enterobacteriaceae.
GGUUAAGCGACUAAGCGUACACGGUGGAUGCCCUGGCAGUCAGAGGCGAUGAAGGACGUGCUAAUCUGCGAUAAGCGUCGGUAAGGUGAUAUGAACCGUUAUAACCGGCGAUUUCCGAAUGGGGAAACCCAGUGUGUUUCGACACACUAUCAUUAACUGAAUCCAUAGGUUAAUGAGGCGAACCGGGGGAACUGAAACAUCUAAGUACCCCGAGGAAAAGAAAUCAACCGAGAUUCCCCCAGUAGCGGCGAGCGAACGGGGAGCAGCCCAGAGCCUGAAUCAGUGUGUGUGUUAGUGGAAGCGUCUGGAAAGGCGCGCGAUACAGGGUGACAGCCCCGUACACAAAAAUGCACAUGCUGUGAGCUCGAUGAGUAGGGCGGGACACGUGGUAUCCUGUCUGAAUAUGGGGGGACCAUCCUCCAAGGCUAAAUACUCCUGACUGACCGAUAGUGAACCAGUACCGUGAGGGAAAGGCGAAAAGAACCCCGGCGAGGGGAGUGAAAAAGAACCUGAAACCGUGUACGUACAAGCAGUGGGAGCACGCUUAGGCGUGUGACUGCGUACCUUUUGUAUAAUGGGUCAGCGACUUAUAUUCUGUAGCAAGGUUAACCGAAUAGGGGAGCCGAAGGGAAACCGAGUCUUAACUGGGCGUUAAGUUGCAGGGUAUAGACCCGAAACCCGGUGAUCUAGCCAUGGGCAGGUUGAAGGUUGGGUAACACUAACUGGAGGACCGAACCGACUAAUGUUGAAAAAUUAGCGGAUGACUUGUGGCUGGGGGUGAAAGGCCAAUCAAACCGGGAGAUAGCUGGUUCUCCCCGAAAGCUAUUUAGGUAGCGCCUCGUGAAUUCAUCUCCGGGGGUAGAGCACUGUUUCGGCAAGGGGGUCAUCCCGACUUACCAACCCGAUGCAAACUGCGAAUACCGGAGAAUGUUAUCACGGGAGACACACGGCGGGUGCUAACGUCCGUCGUGAAGAGGGAAACAACCCAGACCGCCAGCUAAGGUCCCAAAGUCAUGGUUAAGUGGGAAACGAUGUGGGAAGGCCCAGACAGCCAGGAUGUUGGCUUAGAAGCAGCCAUCAUUUAAAGAAAGCGUAAUAGCUCACUGGUCGAGUCGGCCUGCGCGGAAGAUGUAACGGGGCUAAACCAUGCACCGAAGCUGCGGCAGCGACGCUUAUGCGUUGUUGGGUAGGGGAGCGUUCUGUAAGCCUGUGAAGGUGUACUGUGAGGUAUGCUGGAGGUAUCAGAAGUGCGAAUGCUGACAUAAGUAACGAUAAAGCGGGUGAAAAGCCCGCUCGCCGGAAGACCAAGGGUUCCUGUCCAACGUUAAUCGGGGCAGGGUGAGUCGACCCCUAAGGCGAGGCCGAAAGGCGUAGUCGAUGGGAAACAGGUUAAUAUUCCUGUACUUGGUGUUACUGCGAAGGGGGGACGGAGAAGGCUAUGUUGGCCGGGCGACGGUUGUCCCGGUUUAAGCGUGUAGGCUGGUUUUCCAGGCAAAUCCGGAAAAUCAAGGCUGAGGCGUGAUGACGAGGCACUACGGUGCUGAAGCAACAAAUGCCCUGCUUCCAGGAAAAGCCUCUAAGCAUCAGGUAACAUCAAAUCGUACCCCAAACCGACACAGGUGGUCAGGUAGAGAAUACCAAGGCGCUUGAGAGAACUCGGGUGAGGGAACUAGGCAAAAUGGUGCCGUAACUUCGGGAGAAGGCACGCUGAUAUGUAGGUGAAGCGACUUGCUCGUGGAGCUGAAAUCAGUCGAAGAUACCAGCUGGCUGCAACUGUUUAUUAAAAACACAGCACUGUGCAAACACGAAAGUGGACGUAUACGGUGUGACGCCUGCCCGGUGCCGGAAGGUUAAUUGAUGGGGUCAGCGCAAGCGAAGCUCUUGAUCGAAGCCCCGGUAAACGGCGGCCGUAACUAUAACGGUCCUAAGGUAGCGAAAUUCCUUGUCGGGUAAGUUCCGACCUGCACGAAUGGCGUAAUGAUGGCCAGGCUGUCUCCACCCGAGACUCAGUGAAAUUGAACUCGCUGUGAAGAUGCAGUGUACCCGCGGCAAGACGGAAAGACCCCGUGAACCUUUACUAUAGCUUGACACUGAACAUUGAGCCUUGAUGUGUAGGAUAGGUGGGAGGCUUUGAAGUGUGGACGCCAGUCUGCAUGGAGCCGACCUUGAAAUACCACCCUUUAAUGUUUGAUGUUCUAACGUGGACCCGUAAUCCGGGUUGCGGACAGUGUCUGGUGGGUAGUUUGACUGGGGCGGUCUCCUCCUAAAGAGUAACGGAGGAGCACGAAGGUUGGCUAAUCCUGGUCGGACAUCAGGAGGUUAGUGCAAUGGCAUAAGCCAGCUUGACUGCGAGCGUGACGGCGCGAGCAGGUGCGAAAGCAGGUCAUAGUGAUCCGGUGGUUCUGAAUGGAAGGGCCAUCGCUCAACGGAUAAAAGGUACUCCGGGGAUAACAGGCUGAUACCGCCCAAGAGUUCAUAUCGACGGCGGUGUUUGGCACCUCGAUGUCGGCUCAUCACAUCCUGGGGCUGAAGUAGGUCCCAAGGGUAUGGCUGUUCGCCAUUUAAAGUGGUACGCGAGCUGGGUUUAGAACGUCGUGAGACAGUUCGGUCCCUAUCUGCCGUGGGCGCUGGAGAACUGAGGGGGGGCUGCUCCUAGUACGAGAGGACCGGAGUGGACGCAUCACUGGUGUUCGGGUUGUCAUGCCAAUGGCACUGCCCGGUAGCUAAAUGCGGAAGAGAUAAGUGCUGAAAGCAUCUAAGCACGAAACUUGCCCCGAGAUGAGUUCUCCCUGACCCUUUAAGGGUCCUGAAGGAACGUUGAAGACGACGACGUUGAUAGGCCGGGUGUGUAAGCGCAGCGAUGCGUUGAGCUAACCGGUACUAAUGAACCGUGAGGCUUAACCUUAC